UUGCUAGUUACCAUCAUUAAGUUGGGGACUCUAGCGAGACUGCCAGUGAUAAACUGGAGGAAGGUGGGGGAUGACGUCAAAUCAUCAUGCCCCUUAUGACCUGGGCUACAAACGUGAUACAAUGGCUGGAACAAAGGAUGCGAAGCAGUGAUGUGGAGCGAAACCCAUAAAAACAGUCUCAGUUCGGAUUGAAGUCUGCAACUCGACUUCAUGAAGUCGGAAUCGCUAGUAAUCGCGGAUCAGAACGCCGCGGUGAAUACGUUCUCGGGGUUU
RNAcentral lists this ribosomal RNA (273 nucleotides) under uncultured Acholeplasma sp. Its description in RNAcentral is "partial 16S ribosomal RNA". It matches the Rfam family "Bacterial small subunit ribosomal RNA", at positions 1108 to 1382 of the family's 1533-position model. The record is from RNAcentral. Lineage: Bacteria; Bacillati; Mycoplasmatota; Mollicutes; Acholeplasmatales; Acholeplasmataceae.